This 379-nucleotide unclassified non-coding RNA is filed under the name uncultured Actinomycetes bacterium. RNAcentral describes it as "uncultured actinobacterium contains 16S-23S intergenic spacer region". The record is from RNAcentral. Lineage: Bacteria; Bacillati; Actinomycetota; Actinomycetes.
UCCGAGUUGACCCCGGCAGUCUCCCAUGAGUCCCCACCAUUACGUGCUGGCAACAUGGAACAAGGGUUGCGCUCGUUGCGGGACUUAACCCAACAUCUCACGACACGAGCUGACGACAACCAUGCACCACCUGUACACCGCCCCCGAAGGGACCCCUCAUCUCUGAAGGUAAACGGUGUAUGUCAAGCCCUGGUAAGGUUCUUCGCGUUGCAUCGAAUUAAGCCGCAUGCUCCGCCGCUUGUGCGGGCCCCCGUCAAUUCCUUUGAGUUUUAGCCUUGCGGCCGUACUCCCCAGGCGGGGCGCUUAAUGCGUUAGCUACGGCACAGGAAACGUGAACCAUCCCCCACACCUAGCGCCCAACGUUUACAGCGUGGACUAC